UACGGGGGGGGCAAGCGUUGUUCGGAAUUACUGGGCGUAAAGGGCUCGUAGGCGGCCUUCUAAGUCAGACGUGAAAUCCCCAGGCUUAACUUGGGAACUGCGUCUGAUACUGGGAGGCUUGAGUGCGGGAGAGGGAUGUGGAAUUCCAGGUGUAGCGGUGAAAUGCGUAGAUAUCUGGAGGAACACCGGUGGCGAAGGCGGCAUCCUGGACCGGCAUUGACGCUGAGGCGCGAAAGCCAGGGGAGCAAACGGG
This 253-nucleotide ribosomal RNA is filed under the name uncultured bacterium. RNAcentral's name for it is "partial 16S ribosomal RNA". It matches the Rfam family "Bacterial small subunit ribosomal RNA", at positions 524 to 776 of the family's 1533-position model. The record is from RNAcentral.